Molecule: long non-coding RNA, 486 nt
Filed under: Nicotiana benthamiana
Lineage: Eukaryota; Viridiplantae; Streptophyta; Magnoliopsida; Solanales; Solanaceae
Description: long non-coding RNA (NBEN_LNC006274)
Source: RNAcentral
GAUAAUUAAGACUUUCCGGUGCGUCAUUGAACCCUGAGCAGAUGGUCCAUUAUCGUCUUUUUUGUUGUAUCUGGAGACAAGUCCUGCAUCUGUCUAUAGGGGUUAAAAUGUCUAUCAAUAUUAGUUCUAUUUGGCUUUAUUAUAUAAGUUCUCAUGAUUGCCUUGUAUGUUUUUUAAGGAUGGGCAUUUUGAUCGAGAGAACUUCAGCAAAGGACCAAGCAUGACAUCAUCACCUGGGGAGACACAUUGUGCUGCAGUUUCUGCAUCCGCGUGGGUUGAACCACAUGGAAAAUGUACCGUGGCAUUUGCUGUUGCUUGGUCAUCUCCUCAAGUUAAAUUCAACAUCAUCACCUGGGGAGGCACAUUGUGCUGCAGUUUCUGCAUCCGCGUGGGUUGAACCACAUGGAAAAUGUACCGUGGCAUUUGCUGUUGCUUGGUCAUCUCCUCAAGUUAAAUUCAUGAAAGGAAAGUCAUAUUAUAGGUAAU